Molecule: RNA transcript, 1953 nt
Organism: Asparagus officinalis (garden asparagus)
Lineage: Eukaryota; Viridiplantae; Streptophyta; Magnoliopsida; Asparagales; Asparagaceae
Gene name: serine/arginine-rich splicing factor RSZ21-like
Exons: 7
Source: RefSeq, a predicted model, not a curated record
CUUGAUUAUGCUGGAGUUGUCGUAUGCUCAUAUUCGAUGAUUUGAUCAAUUUUCCGCGUUGCGUUUUACUCCUUCGACGUGAAAGGAGAAGGGAAAUCGUGAAAUCUUUUCACUGUGCAUGAUUAAUAAUUUCGGACGCGGUUGUCUCUAGGGUUUUCGCAUAUGAUGAUUGAUGUUAUUCGAAUAGUAUGCGGAUUUUGAAUUAUCUUUCUCGGUGCUUGAUUUAUACUUUUGGUACCCGUUUAUGGAUUGCGUAGUAGCUGUUGGCGCAAGUAAAAUGUCUCGGGUUUAUGUUGGGAACCUUGAUGAACGCGUCACUGAAAGGGAUAUUGAAGAUGAAUUUCGAGUUUUCGGUGUAAUCCGAAGUGUUUGGGUUGCCCGAAGACCUCCUGGUUAUGCAUUUGUUGAAUUCGAUGACCGGAGAGAUGCGUUGGAUGCCAUUCAUGAACUAGAUGGGAAGAUAAGGUGGAGAGUUGAACUCUCUCACGACUCCAAAGGUCUUGGUGGUGGCCGUGGUGGACGAUCACGUGGUGGUAGUGAGGAUAUGAGGUGUUAUGAGUGUGGUGAACCUGGACACUUUGCUCGAGAAUGUCGAACUCGUAUCGGCUGGGGAGGGUUGGGCAGCAGUAGACGCCGAAGCCCGAGCCCUCGAUAUCGUAGGAGCCCAAGCUAUGGUAGCAGUAGCUACAGUCCAAGAUGGAGAAGAUCCUCAAGACGCCGCAGCUUGUCACCUCCUCGCCGUGGUCGAUACGUUAGCCAAUCACCUCCUUAUCGACGUGACUCACCUUAUGCCUACAGGAGGUACUGAAGCUGAAUAAAACUUAGGCUCAGGAGAAUGGAUGCGUCUCUCUGUUAUAUAUAUAAAUACUGCAUGAGCUUUGGCUUGUUAGACCCGCUGAACAAUGAAGUGUCUCAGUAAAAGCUGUAGCCUUAUUCAGAGUAGAGUGGUUAUGAGUACAUACUAGAGCUCGGGACCCUGAGGACACUCUACUGCUUGCUUGUACUUGGAGAGGUUAUUUCCCCUGCACUACUUUGCCUUUGUCUUUAAAUCUACCAGCUAUAUGUUAUAUAUGCUUUGUGGCUUGACAUUAAAUUAUGAAUCUGUUGUGCUUUUGAUAUAAUUGGAACAUCUUACAUAAUCUGUGUACUUGUGUUUUCUUCUUUUGUGGUGAGAGGUUCUACUAAGCCGUAGUUGCGUCAGGCUUCUUUUGGGAUCUCCUUCUGCUCCUAAACUGAGAGAAAUGGUUUUUCUGCACCCGUGCUUCUCACUUCUUAAGUCUCUUAGCUGCAUCAUACUACCGCCAAAAUUAUAGGGAAGAUUCACUGGACAUUCUCAACACGCUGUUAGACUGUGGACCUGGGACAACCUUCUGCACUUAUAUUAGAUAGGUUUAGGGUUCUUCACAACCUGAGUUCCGUAUUGAGAAAAGGCUGCUCCAAGCUCGCCACACAUCAUCGUUUCAUCAUCUCCUGCUUCUUGAUUGAGGUGUCAUCUCCCUUGAUUUUCCUUCUCAUAUUGAGUCUACUGGCUCGCCUUAUUGCUGGUGUGACUGUGGUAGAGACUUAAAGAGUUUUCAUGGAUGUGUAGACCGUGGGCCAUGAAUGAUGUUCGGGAUGACAAUGUUUGUUUCUAGUGAUUUCCCUUAGGAAAGGUUGUGGCUACGCUUCUUUUAUUCGUCGAGACAUUCCGAUAUGUUUUUUUUCCUGAUAAAAACGGUUUCAGGAAAAAAGAAAAGGUUAGAUGCUAACCAUUUUUGCGUUCUAGAGUUUCAACUUGGUCUUCCAAGUUUUUCAUUCGAUUUGCAGGCACCCAAAUUUUGGGUUUAGCCAUUCAUGCACUUCGUUAAGGGAUUGGUUAAAAUGUCUCGGCAGAUUUUAUGGUUUCCUUGUGUGCAGUUUUCUUUAAUUUUCUUUGAAACCUUUGAAGCUCCCUGAGCUGGAAAAAUUUACAUA